AUAGGUUAAGUUAAUAAGGGCGCAUGGUGGAUGCCUUGGCACUAGAAGGCGAUGAAGGACGUGACUAACUACGAUAUGCCUCGGUUAGCUGUAAGUAAGCUUACCCGGGGGUUUCCGAAUGGGGCAACCCGAUCUUAAUGAUCAUCAUCUUUUUGAAUUCAUAGAUUAGAUGAAGCAAACGCUGUGAACUGAAACAUCUCAGUAGCAGUAGGAAAGUAAAGAAAUUUCGAUUCCGUCAGUAGCGGCGAGCGAACGCGGAAGAGCCCAAACCUGGAUGCUUGCAUCCAGGGGUUGUAGGACUGAUGUUGAGUUACAAAGGUAUAAGAUAGCAGAAACAGUUGGGAAGCUGUUCCAAAGAGGGUGACAGGCCCGUAUGCGAAAUCUUGUACUCUCUAAUC
RNAcentral lists this ribosomal RNA (398 nucleotides) under Oenococcus oeni. Its description in RNAcentral is "bacterial LSU rRNA". It matches the Rfam family "Bacterial large subunit ribosomal RNA", at positions 1 to 401 of the family's 2925-position model. The record is from RNAcentral. Lineage: Bacteria; Bacillati; Bacillota; Bacilli; Lactobacillales; Lactobacillaceae.